UAGCAUAUCAAUAAGCGGAGGAAAAGAACCAACCGGGAUUGCCUCAGUAACGGCGAGUGAAGCGGCAAGAGCUCAAAUUUGAAAGCUGGCUCCUUCGGGGUCCGCAUUGUAAUUUGCAGAGGAUGCUUCGGGUGCGGCCCCUGUCUAAGUGCCCUGGAACGGGCCGUCAGAGAGGGUGAGAAUCCCGUCUGGGAUGGGGUGUCCGCGCCCGUGUGAAGCUCCUUCGACGAGUCGAGUUGUUUGGGAAUGCAGCUCUAAAUGGGUGGUAAAUUUCAUCUAAAGCUAAAUACUGGCCGGAGACCGAUAGCGCACAAGUAGAGUGAUCGAAAGAUGAAAAGCACUUUGAAAAGAGAGUUAAAAAGCACGUGAAAUUGUUGAAAGGGAAGCGCUUGCGACCAGACUCGCCUCCAGGGUUCAGCCGGCAUUCGUGCCGGUGUACUUCCCUGGGGGCGGGCCAGCGUCGGUUUGGGCGGCCGGUCAAAGGCUCCCGGAAUGUAGUGCCCUCCGGGGCACCUUAUAGCCGGGAGUGCAAUGCGGCCAGCCUGGACCGAGGAACGCGCUUCGGCACGGACGCUGGCAUAAUGGUCGUAAACGACCCGUCUUGAAACACGGACCAAGGAGUCUAACAUCUACGCGAGUGUUCGGGUGUCAAACCCGUACGCGCAGUGAAAGCGAACGGAGGUGGGAGCCCCCUCGUGGGGCGCACCAUCGACCGAUCCUGAUGUCUUCGGAUGGAUUUGAGUAAGAGCGUAAAUGUGGGGACCCGAAAGAUGGUGAACUAUGCCUGAAUAGGGCGAAGCCAGAGGAAACUCUGGUGGAGGCUCGCAGCGGUUCUGACGUGCAAAUCGAUCGUCAAAUUUGGGUAUAGGGGCGAAAGACUAAUCGAACCAUCUAGUAGCUGGUUCCUGCCGA
RNAcentral lists this ribosomal RNA (912 nucleotides) under Aspergillus flavus. Its description in RNAcentral is "LSU rRNA". It matches the Rfam family "Eukaryotic large subunit ribosomal RNA", at positions 36 to 964 of the family's 3401-position model. Lineage: Eukaryota; Fungi; Ascomycota; Eurotiomycetes; Eurotiales; Aspergillaceae. The record is from RNAcentral.